AGCCAUUUGUGAUUAUUUGCGUUCAGGAGAAAUCAUACGAAUCAUUUUUGUUUUUGAAACAAAACUAAAUGAAUCGUGGUGAAAACAUGUGUAUUCUUAUCUAAUGAGAAACAUAAGUGGAAGAUUAUUUAUACUGCAGCAAGAUAUGAAAACACUAAUUUCUCAUCACCACGAAACUUCCCACACGUUAUCUUGCACAUAAAGAUCUACAAAAAGAAGAAAAAAAAUAUCCUAAGAAAGAUAUCUUCUCUUUUUAUUUAUUUUACUAAAGAAGUCGCGCCAAAUGAUAAUACGCAAUUCGUAAUCUGAAGAUUAUGAAAAUAAAACAUACGCUUCCGAUGACCGCAUUAAAGAAAAAUAAAAGCUGCCGUAAGCUUUAAGAGAAGAGCUAUCACUUCAAAAGAGCACCUUCAUUUAAUAAGCACUGAUUUAGAAGAGGAAAAAAAAUAACUCAGAAGAAUAUGACAGUAUUCAACUUUGUAGCAUGAGUGAACUGUUGGAGAUAUAUUAUCAAAUGCUGAAAUCAGAAAUGAGUGUUAUUGUGAAAGACAUAAAAUUAAAUAGUUUCGAUGGAAAAUUACAAGAUAAGUACUCAUCAUUAUUGGUAGAUUUUUCAAAGAAGCAUGAAAUAACGCCAUUUUCUCAAUCCCUUGCGUAAGUAUCAAUUUAAAUUC
This is a long non-coding RNA of Parasteatoda tepidariorum (common house spider), 674 nucleotides long. Lineage: Eukaryota; Metazoa; Arthropoda; Arachnida; Araneae; Theridiidae. The record is from RefSeq and is a predicted model, not a curated record.